CCUUUUGUGGUGGACCCUUUUGACUGUCAGAAGCUCAGUGUCACAACUCAGUUUUGAAGCAUAUAUAUAUAAAGAGAGAGAGACUUUUUUUUGAAGCCCUGCUACAGUAGACAUUCUUUCAGAUGCCAGAGGAUGCUAUAGAAAAAUGCGUGCCCUCUUGUAAUACUUUGUUCAAGUUCUGAUCAGAAGGAUGAAUGAUGGAGCCCAAGAAGCCAGCUGAAAUGGCUGUAGCCAAAUUGCCACCAUCUUUUAAGAAAAGCCAAUGUCAAGGCUGGAGCAGGAGAGAAGGGGACCUGCUGUUAAUGACAAUGCUGAGCCAUUGACUCCACCCAUGCUGAAGACUGCUCAAAGGCUAGAAGUUGUGCUAUUAUAUAUGCAAGAUUCUUAUUGUCUAGGUAUUUAGGCUGGAAUCCAGUGGCAUGAUCUCGGCUCAGUGCAACCUCCGCCUCCUGGGUUCAAGCAGUUCUCCUAGAUCAGCAUCAGCGUCCCGAGUAGCUGGGAUUACAGGCACCCGCCACCAUGCCUGGCUAAUGUUGGUCAGGCUGGCUCGAACUCCUGACCUCAAGAGAUCCACCUGCUUUGGCCUCCCAAAGUGCUCGGAUUACAGGCAUGAGCUGCCACACCCAGCCUCCAAAUACUUUUUUUUUAAAUCAAAAUAAUGAUUUCAAUGACUGAGAUCUGUUAUGUAUUUCAACAUAAUCAUGUUUCAUAAAGAUUUAGUCUUCUGAAA
RNAcentral lists this long non-coding RNA (730 nucleotides) under Homo sapiens (human). RNAcentral describes it as "novel transcript". Lineage: Eukaryota; Metazoa; Chordata; Mammalia; Primates; Hominidae. The record is from RNAcentral.